AUGGAACCUAACGGCCAGUUGAAUGAACCACCAAGUCCUAUCAGGCCUAGAACUGCACCAAUUCCCAAGAAACGGGGAUCCUUAAUUUUGAUGCCGAUAUCACUAUGUUUGCUGACCGGAGGUUAUAGUUUUAAAUGUCACGUGAACCAUGAGAUUGGCUUGAUUGGUCAAAGCUGUAAUUCUGAAUUGGUGUGCAAUCCAUGGAGCAUGGUCCCUUCCAAGCUAGACCACAGUUUUGACACACAUUGUUUUUCCAUGUCAUCUGGCGAUGAAAUUUCUGAUGUAUUACAAGUUGAACUAUUGUCAGUAGUGGAUUUGUGCAACAAGGAGAAUUUAUAUUGGACUCGCAACACUCAAUAUAUAACUGAUCACAUAGUCCAUUGUCCCAGUUCAGCCUAUUGCACAAAGGAAUGGUGUCUAGGAGUUAACAAUAAUACCACCAUCCCUGAUAUUCCUGAGAUAUCCACCAGUUAUCAUCAGAUUUGCCUACUGGGAGAUGCCUGUUGGCUGGAUGGUUGUCUAUUUUGCAGCCAAUCAUGCCAUGUGAUACGCACUCGACCUAAAGCUUCUGACCCUCUCAUAUAUGAGACCUUUAGUUGCAGAUCAUAUCAGAGGAUAGCUACAAUUAGGCACAGAUUGGGUGACGGAGAAUGGACUACUCUUAAAAUAAACCCUGGACAGUUCAUCUUGUUGGGAGAAGAUUUUGGUUUGGAUAGUGACAUUGAACCACCACCUAUUUAUUCCAAAGAGACUUAUUUAACAGGUGGAAACAUAAUCGCACCAUUUCCAAUAUCUCCUUUAGGAAUGCCGACAUCAGGGUGGGUAGGUGACUUGCAGUGUGAUACUAAGAGUGAUGCUGUCUCAUUGCAAUGUCUCAUGGCCUCGAAUGUAUGCACAUGCUUACCGAAAGACAAUGACGAUCAAUGCUAUUGUCAGAUGACUGAUCUCAGUAAAGUGUUGAAACACGGUCAGAAUUAUUCAAUUCAAACCAGUAGCUCAGGUAUGCCUGAAUUUGAUGUUGAUCCAUUUGGGAAGAUUAAAUUGACCCUCAAGUCAAAGAAGGUGAUUGAGCCUAUAACUCUUGGGAGAGGGAAGUGCUUGUUCAAUCAAAUCAGGUCGAGUGGUUGCGCAAAUUGUGAAAUUUCACCCGAACUGGAAUACAGCUGCAAAUCGGUGAACCCACAAACAGUUGCUUUAAUAUGUGGGGACGGAUUUUCACCUAUUUUGUGUGAUAACGAAAACAUCACUAGAAUCACUACAUUUGAAACAUCCGAGUCCAACGCUGACAAGACAUGUCAUCUAAUCUACCAGCCAGAAGAAGUGCGGAUCAGUGGAGAGUUGUACACUGCCCAUGGUAGCUCAUUUGUCAGAGAAGAGUCAUCAAAUUAUCAGUCUGAGACGGCACUUGCUCUCUUCAACUCGUGGUCAGAUCCCUUCUUCUUUAAAGUGAACUUAACUGCACUUGCUCUGUAUGUAGGAUGCCCUACACUGAAAAAACGAGAUUAG
RNAcentral lists this long non-coding RNA (1506 nucleotides) under Bemisia tabaci. RNAcentral describes it as "lncRNA ENSSSA1UGG002703". Lineage: Eukaryota; Metazoa; Arthropoda; Insecta; Hemiptera; Aleyrodidae. The record is from RNAcentral.